AAUAUUGCACAAUGGAGGAAACUCUGAUGCAGCGACGCCGCGUGAACGAUGAAGGCCUUCGGGUCGUAAAGUUCUGUCCUUGGGGACGAUAAUGACGGUACCCAAGGAGGAAGCCCCGGCUAACUACGUGCCAGCAGCCGCGGUAAUACGUAGGGGGCGAGCGUUGUCCGGAAUUAUUGGGCGUAAAGGGUUCGCAGGCAGCCUAUUAAGUCAGGUGUGAAAGACCACGGCUCAACCGUGGCAAGCACUUGAAACUGAUGGGCUUGAGUUAAGGAGAGGAAAGUGGAAUUCCUAGUGUAGCGGUGAAAUGCGUAGAUAUUAGGAGGAAUACCAGUGGCGAAGGCGACUUUCUGGACUUAUACUGACGCUGAGGAACGAAAGCGUGGGGAGCAAACA
This 396-nucleotide ribosomal RNA is filed under the name uncultured bacterium. RNAcentral describes it as "partial 16S ribosomal RNA". It matches the Rfam family "Bacterial small subunit ribosomal RNA", at positions 360 to 774 of the family's 1533-position model. The record is from RNAcentral.